GCGUGUAGCAGUGAAAUGCGUAGAUAUGCGGAGGAACACCGAUGGCGAAGGCAGCCCCCUGGGAUAAUACUGACGCUCAUGCACGAAAGCGUGGGGAGCAAACAGGAUUAGAUACCCUGGUAGUCCACGCCCUAAACGAUGUCAACUAGCUGUUGGGGCCUUCGGGCUUUAGUAGCGCAGCUAACGCGUGAAGUUGACCGCCUGGGGAGUACGGUCGCAAGAUUAAAACUCAAAGGAAUUGACGGGGACCCGCACAAGCGGUGGAUGAUGUGGAUUAAUUCGAUGCAACGCGAAAAACCUUACCUACCCUUGACAUGUCUGGAAUCCCGAAGAGAUUUGGGAGUGCUCGCAAGAGAACUGGAACACAGGUGCUGCAUGGCUGUCGUCAGCU
This 391-nucleotide ribosomal RNA is filed under the name uncultured Pseudomonadota bacterium. RNAcentral's name for it is "bacterial SSU rRNA". It matches the Rfam family "Bacterial small subunit ribosomal RNA", at positions 671 to 1060 of the family's 1533-position model. Lineage: Bacteria; Pseudomonadati; Pseudomonadota. The record is from RNAcentral.